This 27-nucleotide small RNA is filed under the name Bombyx mori (domestic silkworm). RNAcentral describes it as "ovarian small RNA-35435". Lineage: Eukaryota; Metazoa; Arthropoda; Insecta; Lepidoptera; Bombycidae. The record is from RNAcentral.
UGUAGGUGCGUGCCGUAGGGCCAGGAA